UACAGAAGGUGCUAGCGUCAAUCGGAUUUAUUGGGCGUAAAGGGCGCGUAGGUGGUAAAGCAAGUAAGAUGUGAAAGCCCUGGGCUUAACCUGGGAAGUGCAUCUUAAACUGCUUAACUAGAGUAUGGUAGAGGGUAGUGGAAUUUCCGGUGUAGCGGUGAAAUGCGUAGAUAUCGGAAGGAACGCCAGUGGUGAAGACGACUACCUGGACCAAUACUGACACUGAGGCGCGAGAGCGUGGGGAGCAAACAGG
This 253-nucleotide ribosomal RNA is filed under the name uncultured bacterium. RNAcentral's name for it is "partial 16S ribosomal RNA". It matches the Rfam family "Bacterial small subunit ribosomal RNA", at positions 524 to 776 of the family's 1533-position model. The record is from RNAcentral.